RNAcentral lists this ribosomal RNA (399 nucleotides) under uncultured Arthrobacter sp. RNAcentral's name for it is "bacterial SSU rRNA". It matches the Rfam family "Bacterial small subunit ribosomal RNA", at positions 999 to 1397 of the family's 1533-position model. The record is from RNAcentral. Lineage: Bacteria; Bacillati; Actinomycetota; Actinomycetes; Micrococcales; Micrococcaceae.
GCUGGAAACAGUCCUUCCCCUUUGGGGCCGGUUCACAGGUGGUGCAUGGUUGUCGUCAGCUCGUGUCGUGAGAUGUUGGGUUAAGUCCCGCAACGAGCGCAACCCUCGUUCCAUGUUGCCAGCGCGUAAUGGCGGGGACUCAUGGGAGACUGCCGGGGUCAACUCGGAGGAAGGUGGGGACGACGUCAAAUCAUCAUGCCCCUUAUGUCUUGGGCUUCACGCAUGCUACAAUGGCCGGUACAAAGGGUUGCGAUACCGUGGGGUGGAGCUAAUCCCAAAAAGCCGGUCUCAGUUCGGAUUGGGGUCUGCAACUCGACCCCAUGAAGUCGGAGUCGCUAGUAAUCGCAGAUCAGCAACGCUGCGGUCAAUACGUUCCCGGGCCUUGUACACACCGCCCGU